This 1777-nucleotide unclassified non-coding RNA is filed under the name Leishmania donovani. Its description in RNAcentral is "gene:LdHU3.26.1480(CDS-product:aldo/keto_reductas e_putative)". Lineage: Eukaryota; Euglenozoa; Kinetoplastea; Trypanosomatida; Trypanosomatidae. The record is from RNAcentral.
GUGCACGGACGCGCGCACGCAAAAGCACAAUGGCCACGACGGCGGUGGCUGCUGCUGGCUUUCUUCCAUCCCUGUCAUUCGGGGUGCCUCCGAUCGGCAUCGGCACCUACGAACUUCGUGGGGACGCCUGCGUGAGCGCCGUGCGGGCCGCUCUCCAGAUGGGCUACCGUCUGAUCGACACCGCCGCGGCGUACCGCAACGAGGAGCUCGUGGGUGAAGGCAUCAUCAGCAGCGGCGUUCCGCGAGCGGACCUAUUCAUUGUGGUGAAGAUCGCGAUGAAGAGCAUGGGUACUGACGAAGCGGUGCGGCAGGGAAUCCUCGACAGCAUCCGCAAGCUACGCAUCGACUACGCCGACUGCGUGCUGAUGCACUGGCCGGGGUGCGGCGGGCUAAAGCCGCAAGACGCAUCAGGUCAUCAAGCGGCCCGCGCGCGGUGCUGGCGCAUCAUGCACGAGCUGCAGGCUCUGGGCAAAGUGCGUUACUGUGGUGUGUCGAACUUUCUGCCGCGGCACUUCAAGGAGCUGAACUGCUUCCACGACGGCGACGGUGGGCGUAGUGAGGAUGAGGCCGUCGCUGCUGCGGCGCAACCGCAUGCUUCCAUCAAGGGCGAAAGGAACGCAGACGUUGUGGCGCACAGGCAUUGCAGCAACACGAGCAGUGCCUCCUCACCCUCGUCUUCCGAGGCAUGGCCGGCUUCUGCAUCGUCGCAUCUGCUUUCACCGCCCAUCCUGAAUCAGAUUGAGCUGCACCCUCUCUGCAUUCAGCGUGACGUCGAAACGUACUGUCGCCGGCGCCACGGUAUGCUGCUGCAGCAGUACUCCCCACUUGGCAAGGGGGACGCGCGUCUCUUGCAGCACCCGCGACUGCUUGAGGUGCACGCGCGGUACUUUUCGAACCAGAGCGAUGGAAAUCAUGUGCCAGCACCACCGCAGGCGGCGUCACCUGAGGCCGUCAAGCCGUACUCUUUGGAGGACAUGAUACUCAUGUGGGGCUUCGCACAGGGCUACUGCACGCUGGUGCGGAGCCACAGGCCUGACCACCUCCGCGCCAACUUGGAUGCCGCUCGCGACUAUUUCGCAUCUGUGGAAGCAGUCGCGAAAGGAGCGGGCAACGGCGGCGGCGGCGGCGAAGCAUCCCAGACUUCGGCUGGCACGGCACGCGCGCUACUGACAGCGGAGCAGCUUAAUGUUAUUCGACAUCUCCGUGCGCACAUUGGCGUGGAGGGCAAUCAAGACAUGCAUCUAUGCUGGUACAGCUCUCAAAUCGCUUAAUGUGUUGCCCUCUCGGGGCGUCGCGGCUCAGUGGCGCUCACAUGAGGCAUUGAGCGGGAUGGAGUUGGUAGCGUCGGGUUUGCACCUUGUCCCUACCGUUGCCGCUGUAUAUUCCUAGCCCUCCCCUUCCCCACCUUCGUGAUCGCUCUAUCCAGUGCUGGCUCUGCUGAGCUCUCGAUGGCACGCACACGCACAAAAACGCCAUCGCGCACCCUGAAAAGCAUGCGCAAGUCAUGCCGGGCUGAUUCUCCGCUCGGCUCCGCGUGCAUCCGGUCUCAAUUUGCCUCAGGCGCGUUCAUCAGUCACUCUCACGUACUUCAUCGUGCCGCCCUACCAGCGUGCUCGCCGGCGGUCCUUCCCUCUUUGACAUACUGGCGCUGCAACGGUGAGGCAGGGCCCCCCACGCUUCCUCUUGCCACGGCUCUCGAACCCUCCCUCCUGCCUCUCUUCACGCGAUUUCUUUCUCCUUCCGCAUGCAUGCGGCGCUCUGCCGCAAUCGAGGCAAG